GGCGUGCUAUACAUGCAAGUCGAGCGAACUGAUUAGAAGCUUGCUUCUAUGACGUUAGCGGCGGACGGGUGAGUAACACGUGGGCAACCUGCCUGUAAGACUGGGAUAACUUCGGGAAACCGAAGCUAAUACCGGAUAGGAUCUUCUCCUUCAUGGGAGAUGAUUGAAAGAUGGUUUCGGCUAUCACUUACAGAUGGGCCCGCGGUGCAUUAGCUAGUUGGUGAGGUAACGGCUCACCAAGGCAACGAUGCAUAGCCGACCUGAGAGGGUGAUCGGCCACACUGGGACUGAGACACGGCCCAGACUCCUACGGGAGGCAGCAGUAGGGAAUCUUCCGCAAUGGACGAAAGUCUGACGGAGCAACGCCGCGUGAGUGAUGAAGGCUUUCGGGUCGUAAAACUCUGUUGUUAGGGAAGAACAAGUACGAGAGUAACUGCUCGUACCUUGACGGUACCUAACCAGAAAGCCACGGCUAACUACGUGCCAGCAGCCGCGGUAAUACGUAGGUGGCAAGCGUUAUCCGGAAUUAUUGGGCGUAAAGCGCGCGCAGGCGGUUUCUUAAGUCUGAUGUGAAAGCCCACGGCUCAACCGUGGAGGGUCAUUGGAAACUGGGGAACUUGAGUGCAGAAGAGAAAAGCGGAAUUCCACGUGUAGCGGUGAAAUGCGUAGAGAUGUGGAGGAACACCAGUGGCGAAGGCGGCUUUUUGGUCUGUAACUGACGCUGAGGCGCGAAAGCGUGGGGAGCAAACAGGAUUAGAUACCCUGGUAGUCCACGCCGUAAACGAUGAGUGCUAAGUGUUAGAGGGUUUCCGCCCUUUAGUGCUGCAGCUAACGCAUUAAGCACUCCGCCUGGGGAGUACGGUCGCAAGACUGAAACUCAAAGGAAAUUGACGGGGGGCCCGCACAAGCGGUGGGAGCAUGUGGUUUUAAUUCGAAGCAACGCGAAGAAACCUUACCAGGUCUUGACAUCCUCUGACAACUCUAGAGAUAGAGCGUUCCCCUUCGGGGGACAGAGUGACAGGUGGUGCAUGGUUGUCGUCAGCUCGUGUCGUGAGAUGUUGGGUUAAGUCCCGCAACGAGCGCAACCCUUGAUCUUAGUUGCCAGCAUUUAGUUGGGCACUCUAAGGUGACUGCCGGUGACAAACCGGAAGAAAGGUGGGGGAUGAACGUCAAAUCAUCAUGGCCCCUUAUGAACCUGGGGCUAACACCCUGGCUACAAUGGGAAUGGUUCCAAAGGGCUUGCAAAAACCCCCAAGGUCAAGCCCAAUCCCCUAAAAACCAUUUUUCAUUUGGGA
Molecule: ribosomal RNA, 1295 nt
Filed under: Priestia aryabhattai
Lineage: Bacteria; Bacillati; Bacillota; Bacilli; Caryophanales; Bacillaceae
Description: bacterial SSU rRNA
Rfam family: Bacterial small subunit ribosomal RNA
Source: RNAcentral